RNAcentral lists this ribosomal RNA (228 nucleotides) under uncultured bacterium. RNAcentral's name for it is "partial 16S ribosomal RNA". It matches the Rfam family "Bacterial small subunit ribosomal RNA", at positions 15 to 235 of the family's 1533-position model. The record is from RNAcentral.
GAUCAUGGCUCAGGAUGAACGCUAGCUAAAGGCUUAACACAUGCAAGUCGAGGGGCAGCAUGGUCUUAGCUUGCUAAGGCCGAUGGCGACCGGCGCACGGGUGAGUAACACGUAUCCAACCUGCCGUCUACUCUUGGACAGCCUUCUGAAAGGAAGAUUAAUACAAGAUGGCAUCAUGAGUCCGCAUGUUCACAUGAUUAAAGGUAUUCCGGUAGACGGUGGGAUGCG